GAAUUCAUGAAUUACAUUUCUGCAAGAUGGGGUGGCAUGAUGUCAUCUUCAGUCCUUUUUUUUUCUUCAAUUGCAUUAUAUUUGGAACAGGCACGAUGGUGACAUCUGUAAUCCCAACUACUUGGGAGGCUGAGGCUAGAGAUUCCUUGAGCCCAGGAAUUCAAGGCUAAAGUGUGCUAUGAUCACACCUGUGAAUAGCACUGCACUCCAGCCUGGGCAACACAUAAGACCUCUCUCUUUAAAUGUAAAAAAAAAAAGUCUGCAUGCAGUGGCUUAUGCCUGUAAUCCCAGCACUUUGGGAGGCUGAAGCGGGUGGAUCACCUGAGAUCAGGAGUUCAAGACCAGCCUGGCGAACACAGUGAAACCCUGUCUCUACUAAAAAUACAAAAAAAGAAAAAAAAAAUUAGCUGGGUGUGGCGGUGCAUGCCUGUAAUCCCAGCUACUUGGGAGGCUAAGGCAGGAGAAUCGCUUGAACCUGGGAGGCAGAGGUUGCAGUGAGCCAAGAUCGUACCAUUGCACUCCAGCCUGGGUGAUAGAAUGAGACUGUCUCAAAAAACAAAAAAAAUUUGAUGGCACUGUCUCCAAAAUUAAGAAGAGGAUGGAAGGAGCUGACCCAGACACUCAAGAUGCAGGGCUAAUUAUUCCCAUUUUACAGAUGUGGAAGACUGAGGCCUGUUGAAAGUGCAGAGCUCAGCCCUGGCACCUUCUGUCCUCAAGAGCUCCAUGCAGGUGCCACAGGAUGGAGAAGACCUUGUUGGCCAACCCUGGUACCACGGCCUCCUGUCCCGCCAGAAGGCUGAAGCUCUUCUUCAGCAAGAUGGCGACUUCCUGGUUCGUGCCUCUGGGUCCCGUGGGGGCAACCCCGUGGUCUCCUGCCGCUGGAGGGGCUCCGCCCUCCAUUUUGAGGUGUUCCGUGUGGCCCUGCGUCCCCGGCCAGGCCGACCCACAGCCCUCUUUCAACUGGAGGAUGAGCAAUUCUCCAGCAUACCAGCUCUGGUUCACAGUUAUAUGACAGGCAGGCGCCCGCUGUCCCAGGCCACAGGGGCUGUGGUCUCCAGGCCUGUGACUUGGCAGGGGCCUCUACGACGCAGCUUUAGCGAGGACACCCUGAUGGAUGGCCCAGCUCGGAUAGAGCCUCUCAGGGCAAGGAAGUGGAGCAACAGUCAGCCUGCAGAUUUGGCACACAUGGGGCGGUCAAGAGAAGACCCCGCUGGGAUGGGUGAGUGUCUGCCAGAAUGGCCUGUGGCUCAGGGAUUGGCUCUGCCACUCACCACCUAAGAGAUCUUGGUCAGGUGCAGGAACCUCAUGGAGCCUCAAUUUCUUGCUUUAGAAAAUGAUGACAAUCACGAUGACUUAAAACACGCAGGGACUUUGUGGGUGCUUAAAAUGUGUGUUUCCAAAGCUGAGUGCAGUGGCUCAUGCCUGUAAUCCCAGCACUUUGGGAGGCCGAGGCUGGUGGAUCAUUUGAGGUCAGGAAUUCGAGACCAGCCUGACCAACAUGGUGAAACCCCAUCUCCACUAAAAACAAAAUUAGCCGAGCAUGGUGGCACGCACCUGUAAUCCCAGCUACUCUGGAGGCUGCGGCAGGAGAAUCACUUGAACCCGGGAGGCGGAGGUUGCAGUGAGCCGAGAUGGCGCCACUACACUUCAGACUGGGUGACAGGACAAAACUCCAUCUCAAAAAAAAAAAAAAAGUGUUUACAAUUAUUCUAAGGAGCUGUACCUGUUCUGACCACAGCUUACCUUGCUAACAACUUCUGCUACAUACCCUCCUCAUGCUGGUUACACAGCCCUCCUUGCAGUUGUUCGAACCCUCAGGCUUUUAUUUCCUCCUCAGGGCCUUUGCAUGUUACAUUUCCACCAGUGACGGGAACAUUCGCAUUCCCCUAAUUUUUUCCUGAGUGGCUCCUCUCCAUCCAGGGUGAGUUCCUCAAAGCAGUUGAGUCUGACGGUCUUACCUAAAGGAGGACUCACCUGAAUGCCCCCUCAUGCCCCUUUUUUCCCAUCCUUCUCCCAACCCCAUUCAACAUGAGCCCUCCCUGCAUCCCAGGCCCUGCACGGAGUGCUAGGAUAGAUCAACGAACCAGAAAGAGACAAAGAUCCCUGCCCAAUGGGAGCCAACAGUCUACGAGAGGACAACAAACCAUGAACCACAAAAAUAAGGCAAUUUUGUUUGCUUCAAGAUGAAAAUUAAAACAGUAAGGGAAGGCCAGGCACAGUGGCUCAGGCCUGUAAUCCCAGCACUUUGGAAGGCCGAGGUGGGUGGAUCACCUGAGGUCAGGAGUUUGAGACCAGCCUGGCCAACAUGGUGAAACCCCGUCUCUACUAAAACUACAAAAAUUAGCCAGGCGUGGUGGCACAUGCCUGUAAUCCCAGCUACACGGGAGGCUGAGGCAUGAGAAUUGCUUGAACCCAGGAGGCGGAGGUUGCCAUGAGCCAAGAUCGCGCCACUGCACUCCAGCCUGGACAACAGAGUGAGACUCUGUCUCAAAAAAGAGACAAACAAAAAACAGACAAACAAAAAACAGUAAGGGAAGGGUGAGGUGGCUCAGGUCUGUAAUCCUAGCACUUUGGGAGGCCAAGGUGGGCAGAUCACUUGAGGUCAGGAGUUCGACACCAGCCUGGCCAACAUGGUGAAAACCCAUCUCUACUUAAAAAAAAAAAAAAAAAAAAAAAAAAAAAAAAUUAGCCAGGUGUAGUGGCAUAUGCCUGUAAUCCCAGCUACUUGGGACAGAGUGAGACUCUGUCUCAAAAAAACCAAAAAAAAAAAAAACAAAACAAAACAAAAAAAACAGAGUAAGGGAGAUAGAGACUAUAAAGAUGGAGAUGUAUAUUGCAAUUUUAUUUUAUUUUUAUUUAUUUAUUUUUGAGAUAGAGUUUUGCUCUUGUUGCCCAGGAUGGAGUGCAAUGGCGUGAUAUCGGCUCACUGCAACCUCCACCUUCUGGGUUCAAGCGAUUUUCCUGCCUCAGCCUCCCGAGUAGCUGGGAUUACAGGCAUGUGCCACCAUGCCCGGCUAAUUUUGUAUUUUUAGUAGAGACGGGGUUUCACCACGUUGGUUAGGCUGGUCUCGAACUCCUGACCUCAGGUGAUCCACCCACCUCGACCUCCCAAAGUGCUGGGAUUACAGGCGUGAGCCAUUGUACCCGGGCAAGCAAUUUUAAAUAGUAGUCAGGAAAGGCCCCAUUGCAGAAAAAAAUAAAAUAAAAUUGAAAGAAAUGAGGGAGGGAACAAGGUGGAUAACUGGGAGAUAAGCAGGCAGGAGGAAGAGGGAGUGCAAAGGCUCUUGGGUCAGAACAAGAAUUUAAGCUGUUCAUUCAACCAAAAAAUGAGUGGGUAGCUGGGUGUGGUGUUGCACGCCUAUGGUCCUAGCCACUUGGGAGGUUGAAGCAGGAGGACUCCUUGAACCCAGGAAGUCAAGGCUGCAGUGAGCUGUGAUCGCACCAUUGCACUCCAGCCUGGGCCACAGAGUGAGACCCUGUCUCAAAUU
RNAcentral lists this small RNA (3488 nucleotides) under Pongo abelii (Sumatran orangutan). Its description in RNAcentral is "retained intron". The record is from RNAcentral. Lineage: Eukaryota; Metazoa; Chordata; Mammalia; Primates; Hominidae.